GUUUUAAUCUCUUACUAAACUUCUUGGGUAUAUACACAUUAAUCCUUGAGUUUUUCUCAAGUUCCAUGUAAACAGCAAGUAUAUCCCUCAAACAGAAAACCAGUAAUUUAUUUCUUAAAAUUCUUCCUUUUCCAUCUGUCUCCCCUCCUACUAUUUCCUUACCCCUUCUCUGUAGCCUAUUCAAUUUCAUCCAGUUGUCCCUUGUUUUUGAAACAUUUUAUUUGUGUGAAGACUAAAUCCCCAUUUCCUUCUUUUUGAUCUCCAUUUAGUCUUGAUUACAAAUCUAAAUGACUUAUGGUCAGUAUUAUUUAGCUCCUUCCUCCACCCACUCACCUUUAUGAGACCAGUCACAUCUUCUGCUUUGAAAAAAGUUUUUAUGCUGGCUCAUUUUUCAUGAUUGCUUUAACAUGAAUCAAAAAGAAAAGCCAUCCUAUAAAACCUGUAUUCCUAGGGGAAGCAAACACUAAGAAAUACAGGGACCCCUGAAAACUUUUGGUAGUUUGAGGUUUAGUUAAAUAUGUAAGAACAAGCUAGAAUAAUAUUCAAGAAGAGUUCUGAAAUAAGUUAAAACUCCUUGUGACAGGUCGGAUGGGCCAAAAAAAACAAAAACAAAAAAACAAAAAAACAAACAAAAAAAACCCCUCCUUUGUUCUCCUCUUCCAUAAAGAGACCAACCAGUGGUUGUUUAAACCAGGUAAUGUUAAGUUUUAAUUCCUCUCUGAUUUGAAAUCAAUAUCUAAUUGUCAAUAAAUAACAUUAUUUAACAUCUUUAAGAUUCAGGACACGAAGCUGGAUAAAUGAAAGGAUAACAACUCUUCCCAUCUUUGCUAGCCAAAGUCCUAUUCCUGAAAUCCCUUUUCAUACAUCCAUUCACAACUGUUGUAUAGAUAGUAAAGACACCUAAACUGAAACAAUACAAAAUAUUCUCAGAAUUUAGCUGCUAUAUGAAAUCACAGAAUUAUAAAUGUUGAAGCUAAACACAGUGACUAUCUAUGCUAGUGUUUCCUAAGCUAUUAGAACUUUGUGCAGAUCUCCUAUUUUUUUUCAUUUUUUUAUAUAAUGAUUUUUAUUUUUUUCCAUUAUAGCUAUUUUACAGUGUUCUGUCAAUUUUCUACUGUAAAGCAUGGUGACCCAGUUACACAUACAUGUAUAGAUUCUUUUUUCUCACAUUAUCAUGCUCCAUCAUAAUUGACCAGACAUAGUUCCCAGUAUUACACAGCAGGAUCUCAUUGUUAAUCCAUUCCAAAGGCCAUAGUCUGCAUCUAUUAAGCUCCCAAUCCAUCCUACUCCCCCCUAAACCCUUUGGCAACCACAAGUCUAUUCUCCAAGUCCAUGAUUUUCUCUUCUGUGGAAAGGUUCAUUUGUGCCAUAUAUUAGAUUCCAGAUAUAAGCGAUAUCAUAUGGUAUUUGUCUUUCUCUUUCUGACUUACUUCAUUCAGUAUGAGAGUCUCUAGUUCCAUCAACGUUGCAGAUCUCCUAUUCUAUAGGAUGGUAGAUUUUAGGAAUCUCUUUGGUAGAGUAACUCACCUUUUCUGCUGUCAUUUUAUUUGCAAGCAGACGAGAUGCCUAGCCUAGGUUAAGAGUAGCAAAGCUACAGCCACAACACAAGUCUUCUGGAUUCCAAGCUCAGGGCUAUUUAUACUACAUCCCAAUACACCCUAUUAAUUUAAUAACAUGGCAGUAAAGAUAAUUCCCACAAAAUUUUGUAGAAUGUAUCCUAAAAUACCUCACAUUUCCUUUUUCUCCCUUACUGUGAGAGUAUAAACCAGAUAUGUUAUCUUUUAGAGUCUGCUGGGGUUUAUCUACUAAAACAUGAACAUUGUCAGGAAAAAGUUAACACAAAGAUUAUCAUAUUUCCCCCUUUUUGUUUUCUCUUCCAAUCAAAAAAAAAAAAAAAACAACCAAACAAAAAAGUCCAAGUAAAGCAGCUCAAAAAGUCUCUACAGGUAGAAAAGUUCAUUCUUUUAUCAAAAAUAAAGAUUUUCAUUAGAAUUAAGCCUUCAGAAUAAAGGAACAGUUCUCCUGUUCAACGUCAUAUAAAAAAUAAUCUGGUUAUUUCAUUAAUAAGUGGGAAACAAAAACAUCACACUUCAACAACAUCUCCAUAAAGAUCUGAGUAGGUCAGUUUAAAAAUAGCUUUUAGUGGAAGUUCUCGAGUAGCACAGCAGUUUAAGGAUCCAGCAUUGCUGCAGCAUGGCUGUGGUGCACAAGUGUGGCCUGGGUUGGAUCCCCAACCCAGGAACUUAUACAUGCCCUGGUGUGGCCAAAACAAACAAAAAAAAAAAACGUAGUUGUUAGUAUCAAGACGGAAGAGGUUAUUCUUAGCCCAAGGAGAUAAAGUCAAGCCCUAAGAGUAGGAGGAAGUGAUAUGCAAUAUAGUAAUUCCUCUAUUCCAUGUCCUCCAAUUGUAAAAUGAAUAGCAUUUCUCAAAUUAUUUUAUUUUGUUAAAAGACAUUUUCAUAAUCUAGACUGCCAUUUCAACUCUUUGGCAAAUAAAUGUUAGUAGAAAAGAUUACUCUCCCAAAGAUAUCAAUAAAAUGAAUUACAGUUUAUUCAAGUCCCUUUUUUUAUCUCUGAACGAUGCCUUCCAGUACUUGCCUAACACCCCAAGAACCAAGGAUAAAAAUUACAAUCCCUUUUCCAAAGUUGGUGCCUAGAGUAGCUAGAAAUGAAUAGAAGGAAUUAAGAUUCACUCUGACCCAAAUAGUAAUUCAGGAAAAAUUUCUAUCAUUGGAUCAAAAAUGUACGCUCUAUCAUUAUAAAGCUGAUCGAAGAAACAGAGAGAUGUAGCUAUUUCCUUGUGAUUGACAUUCUUUUUUAAAAAAACAAUGUUCAAGUUCAUAUUGACUCCUGACAAUACAUACAGUCUUCCAGGUAACCAACAAAAACUGGAUUUUUGCUUAAUCAACCAGGCUAAUUAAGGCUUCUGUUCUGAUCUUCGGAUGACAAGGCAGAGUUUUGCUUCAAUCAAAUUGCUGGUUGACUCUUCCAUGGGCCUAAAUCAUACCCAGCAAUGUAAUCAAACCAGUUUGGCUAAAUUACACACCGUAUAUCAGUAAAUGGCUUUUCUGGGU
RNAcentral lists this long non-coding RNA (3074 nucleotides) under Sus scrofa (pig). Its description in RNAcentral is "lncRNA (ENSSSCG00000058414.1)". The record is from RNAcentral. Lineage: Eukaryota; Metazoa; Chordata; Mammalia; Artiodactyla; Suidae.